GCAGGUGUAGUUUAAUGGUAGAACUUCAGCCUUCCAAGCUGACUGUGAGGGUUCGAUUCCCUUCACCUGCU
Molecule: non-coding RNA, 71 nt
Organism: Spiroplasma melliferum KC3
Lineage: Bacteria; Bacillati; Mycoplasmatota; Mollicutes; Entomoplasmatales; Spiroplasmataceae
Source: Rfam